Molecule: unclassified non-coding RNA, 336 nt
Filed under: soil metagenome
Description: partial contains 5.8S ribosomal RNA, internal transcribed spacer 2, and large subunit ribosomal RNA
Rfam family: 5.8S ribosomal RNA (bases 1-120)
Source: RNAcentral
GAUGAAGAACGUAGUGAAAUGCGAUAAGUAAUGUGAAUUGCAGAAUUCAGUGAAUCAUCGAAUCUUUGAACGCACAUUGCGCCCGCCAGUAUUCUGGCGGGCAUGCCUGUUCGAGCGUCAUUUCAACCAUCAAGCCCCCGGCUUGUGUUGGGGACCUGCGGCUGCCGCAGGCCCAGAAAAGCAGUGGCGGGCUCGCUGUCACACCGAGCGUAGUAGAUUUUAUCUCGCUCAGGGCGUGCUGCGGGUUCCGGCCGUUAAACCACCUUCAUAACCCAAGGUUGACCUCGGAUCAGGUAGGAAGACCCGCUGAACUUAAGCAUAUCAAUAAGCGGAGGA